RNAcentral lists this ribosomal RNA (366 nucleotides) under uncultured bacterium. Its description in RNAcentral is "bacterial SSU rRNA". It matches the Rfam family "Bacterial small subunit ribosomal RNA", at positions 30 to 398 of the family's 1533-position model. The record is from RNAcentral.
AUUGAACGCUGGCGGCAUGCCUUACACAUGCAAGUCGAACGGCAGCACGGGAGCAAUCCUGGUGGCGAGUGGCGAACGGGUGAGUAAUAUAUCGGAACGUGCCCAGUCGUGGGGAUAACGUAGCGAAAGCUACGCUAAUACCGCAUACGAUCUAUGGAUGAAAGCGGGGGAUCGCAAGACCUCGCGCGAUUGGAGCGGCCGAUAUCAGAUUAGGUAGUUGGUGAGGUAAAGGCUCACCAAGCCGACGAUCUGUAGCUGGUCUGAGAGGACGACCAGCCACACUGGGACUGAGACACGGCCCAGACUCCUACGGGAGGCAGCAGUGGGGAAUUUUGGACAAUAGGGCGCAAGCUGAUCAGCAAUGCC